CAGCUAUAACUUAAUACAAUUCUUGUGGAGGGGAUCCAUACUGCAACACCAACUGGGCUCAUGUGUAUUUUAGAAGCAUCAGUGAAAAUCUUAUGCCAAUUUUGGAAAUCUGAAUGCAUAACAUGAGAAAAUGUUUUGUUAGCUUCUAUGGUGAACUUAUUAAUGCCCAGAUCUAAAAUUAUUAAGGGUUGGAAGGGAGACGUCUUUUGUUGGUGAAUAAAACUACCCUACUUUUGGAAGGUGAUAGUGUUAGCCCAUGUUGCAAGAGGUAUGAUGAGAGAUAUUCUAGAGCAUGACUCAAACGAAUAGAAGAAGCCUGUAUAGACUUAUCAGAAGUAUAUAGAACAAUAUCAUCUGCAUAUUGCAAGAUUUGGCAAAAGGGGGUAACUGUGCUAGAAAUAUCAGAGGUAUACAGGUUGUAUAGUAAAGGACUGAGAACAGAACCUUGAGGUAAACCUUUCCAAACUGUUUUAGGAGGUAGGUAUGAGGAUGGGCCUUUAAUGGUAAUUGUUCGCUCCAUUAGCAUAUUGCAUAUGAAUCGAGUUAACUUCGCUGGAAUACUCAGCUGAAUGAGUUUGCUCCUGAGCAGAGGAAGAGACACGUUAUCAUAUGCGGAUUCUAUAUCUAGAAAAACUGCCAAAAGAGGUUCUUUUUGGAAAAGGGCUAAUCUUAUAUCAGUGGUAAGGAUACCCAAGCUAUCUAAUGAGCUCUUCCCCUUUCUGAAUCCAAACUGGGAAUCGGAAAUGAGGUUAUUGUAUUCAACAAACCACUCAAGUCGAUGUUUGAUCAUAUGUUCACAUAUUUUUGCAAGAGCAGGUGAUAGGGCAAUAGGUCUAUAACUGGUGGCUUUAGAUGGACUCUGACCUGGUUUGAGUAUAGGAAUGAUCACUUGAUUUUUCCAAGAUGGAGGUAUGGCACCGACAUCAAAUAGGUUAUUGAUAAUUUUGAGAUAAUAUUCUUGGGAUCUGAUUGAAGAUUGUUUAAGGAAAGAAUAGGGGAUGCCAUCGGCCCCGGGAGAAGUGUCAACUAAGCCAUCCAAUGCCAGAAGGAGUUCUGAAAAAGAGAAAGGGGAGUCUAAACUAUGAGUUGAUGAGAGAGGGAUUGGAGGUGAAGGGAGAUAGUCUUCAUUAGGAACUGAAGGGGGUGACAACCUAUCUGCAAAGGAUUCAAGCCAUACAGAUGGAUCUACACUUGAGUCAUGCUCCGAAGGAUUGUAAGAACCCCUAAAUUUUUUAACUUGUUUCCAUACAAUUGUAGAUGGAGUACAGGGAGAUAAGCUCUGGCAAAAAUUGAUCCAACCUUGUUUUUUCUUUUUGGCAAAUAAAUUAGUGGCCUUGG
This is a long non-coding RNA of Leptidea sinapis, 1338 nucleotides long. RefSeq lists it as uncharacterized. The transcript is spliced from 2 exons. The record is from RefSeq and is a predicted model, not a curated record. Lineage: Eukaryota; Metazoa; Arthropoda; Insecta; Lepidoptera; Pieridae.